RNAcentral lists this ribosomal RNA (523 nucleotides) under uncultured bacterium. Its description in RNAcentral is "bacterial SSU rRNA". It matches the Rfam family "Bacterial small subunit ribosomal RNA", at positions 381 to 896 of the family's 1533-position model. The record is from RNAcentral.
AGCUGAUGCAGCCAUGCCGCGUGUGUGAAGAAGGCUUUAGGGUUGUAAAGCACUUUCAGCGAGGAGGAAAGGUUGUUAGUUAAUACCUGACAGCUGUGACGUUACUCGCAGAAGAAGCACCGGCUAACUCCGUGCCAGCAGCCGCGGUAAUACGGAGGGUGCGAGCGUUAAUCGGAAUUACUGGGCGUAAAGCGUGCGUAGGCGGCUACUUAAGUUGGAUGUGAAAGCCCCGGGCUCAACCUGGGAACUGCAUCCAAAACUGGGUGGCUAGAGUGCGAGAGAGGAGUGUGGAAUUUCCUGUGUAGCGGUGAAAUGCGUAGAUAUAGGAAGGAACACCAGUGGCGAAGGCGACACUCUGGCUUGACACUGACGCUGAGGUACGAAAGCGUGGGGAGCAAACAGGAUUAGAUACCCUGGUAGUCCACGCCGUAAACGAUGUCUACUAGUUGUCCGUUGUCUUGUACGAUGGGUAACGCAGCUAACGCGAUAAGUAGACCGCCUGGGGAGUACGGCCGCAAGGUUA